GGCGAUCAGAUACCGCCCUAGUUCUGACCGUAAACGAUGCCAACUAGCGAUCCGUCGGCGGAUAUUUCGCCCUGAUGGGGAGCUUCCCGGAAACGAAAGUCUUCCGGUUCCGGGGGAAGUAUGGUUGCAAAGCUGAAACUUAAAGGAAUUGACGGAAGGGCACCACCAGGAGUGGAGCCUGCGGCUUAAUUUGACUCAACACGGGAAAACUCACCCGGCCCGGACACCGUAAGGAUUGACAGAUUGAAAGCUCUUUCUUGAUUCGGUGGUUGGUGGUGCAUGGCCGUUCUUAGUUCGUGGAGCGAUUUGUCUGGUUUAUUCCGAUAACGAGCGAGACUCUAGCUUACUAAAUAGUUUUGUCAUUGCUACUGUGGCAUAACUUCUUAGAGGGAUUUUCGGUGUUUAGCCGCACGAGAUUGAGCAAUAACAGGUCUGUGAUGCCCUUAGAUGUCCGGGGCUGCACGCGCGCUACACUGGCGAAAUCAGCGUGCUGUUUCCUAUCUCGAAAGGGAUUGGUAAACCGAUGAAAAUUUGCCGUGAUUGGGAUCGGAAAUUGCAAUUAUUUUCCGUGAACGAGGAAUUCCAAGUAAGUGCGAGUCAUCAACUCGCGUUGAUUACGUCCCUGCCCUUUGUA
This 634-nucleotide ribosomal RNA is filed under the name Aphelenchus sp. 9 Mile 4-30 LP2-54 B. Its description in RNAcentral is "SSU rRNA". It matches the Rfam family "Eukaryotic small subunit ribosomal RNA", at positions 1003 to 1664 of the family's 1831-position model. The record is from RNAcentral. Lineage: Eukaryota; Metazoa; Nematoda; Chromadorea; Rhabditida; Aphelenchidae.